RNAcentral lists this long non-coding RNA (1041 nucleotides) under Homo sapiens (human). RNAcentral's name for it is "non-protein coding lnc-LGALS9B-11:4". Lineage: Eukaryota; Metazoa; Chordata; Mammalia; Primates; Hominidae. The record is from RNAcentral.
CGCCGCCUGCCUCCGGGCCUCACCAAGGAGCAGCUGGAGGAGCAGCUGCGCCCGUUGCCAGCACACGACUACUUCGAGUUCUUCGCCGCCGACCUGAGUCUUUAUCCUCAUCUCUACUCAAGAGCAUACAUUAAUUUUAGGAAUCCUGAUGACAUCCUUCUUUUUAGAGAUCGUUUUGAUGGGAUAUAUCUUCCUUGACAGCAAAGAUCCAGAAUAUAAGAAGUUUUUAGAAACCUACUGUGUGGAGGAAGAGAAGGCCAGUGCCAACCCUGAGACUCUGCUGGGGGAGAUGGAGGCGAAGACAAGAGAGCUCAUUGCUAGAAGAACCACACCUCUUUUGGAAUAUAUUAAAAAUAGAAAAUUAGAAAAGCAGAGAAUUCGAGAAGAGAAGCGAGAAGAACGGAGGAGGAGAGAGUUAGAAAAGAAACGUUUGCGGGAAGAGGAAAAAAGAAGAAGAAGAGAAGAAGAAAGAUGCAAAAAAAAAAAGAGAGACAGAUAAACAGAAGAAAAUUGCAGAGAAAGAAGUAAGGAUUAAGCUUCUUAAGAAACCAGAAAAGGGAGAGGAACCAACCACAGAGAAACCAAAAGAAAGAGGAGAGGAGAUUGAUACUGGAGGUGGCAAGCAGGAAUCCUGUGCCCCCGGUGCAGUCGUAAAAGCCAGGCCCGUGGAAGGCUCGCUGGAGGAGCCCCAGGAGACGUCACACAGCGGCAGUGAUAAAGAGCACAGGGAUGUGGAGAGAUCUCAAGAACAAGAAUCUGAAGCACAAAGACACCAUGUGGAUGAUGGCAGGAGGCACAGAGCUCACCACGAGCCUGACCGGCUUUCCAGAGGGAGUGAGGAUGAGCAGAGAUGGGGGAAAGGACCUGGCCAAGACAGAGGGAAGAAGGGGAGCCAGGACAGCGGGGCUCCGGGGGAGGCCAUGGAGAGACUGGGAAGAGCGCAGAGGUGUGACGACAGUCCAGCACCCAGAAAAGAGCGACUGGCAAACAAGGACCGGCCAGCCUUGCAGCUGUAUGAUCCAGGAGCUCACUUCCGAGCGC